RNAcentral lists this ribosomal RNA (876 nucleotides) under uncultured marine bacterium. Its description in RNAcentral is "bacterial SSU rRNA". It matches the Rfam family "Bacterial small subunit ribosomal RNA", at positions 28 to 896 of the family's 1533-position model. The record is from RNAcentral.
GAUGAACGCUAGCGGCAGGCCUAAUACAUGCAAGUCGAACGGUAACAUUGGUGCUUGCACCAGAUGACGAGUGGCGCACGGGUGCGUAACGCGUAUGCAACCUACCUUUUACUAGAGUAUAGCCCAGAGAAAUUUGGAUUAAUCCUCUAUAACAUCUUUUAAUUUCAUGAUUUUAAGAUUAAAGUUUUAACGGUAAAAGAUGGGCAUGCGUCCUAUUAGUUUGUAGGUGAGGUAACGGCUCACCUAGACUACGAUAGGUAGGGGCCCUGAGAGGGGGAUCCCCCACACUGGUACUGAGACACGGACCAGACUCCUACGGGAGGCAGCAGUAAGGAAUAUUGGACAAUGGACGAAAGUCUGAUCCAGCCAUGCCGCGUGCAGGAUGACAGCCCUACGGGUUGUAAACUGCUUUUAUACAGGAAGAAACACUCCGACGUGUCGGAGCUUGACGGUACUGUAAGAAUAAGGAUCGGCUAACUCCGUGCCAGCAGCCGCGGUAAUACGGAGGAUCCAAGCGUUAUCCGGAAUCAUUGGGUUUAAAGGGUCCGCAGGCUGUUUUUUAAGUCAGAGGUGAAAUCCUACAGCUCAACUGUAGAACUGCCUUUGAUACUGGAAAACUUGAGUUAUUGUGAAGUGGUUAGAAUGUGUGGUGUAGCGGUGAAAUGCAUAGAUAUCACACAGAAUACCGAUUGCGAAGGCAGAUCACUAACAAUAUACUGACGCUCAUGGACGAAAGCGUGGGGAGCGAACAGGAUUAGAUACCCUGGUAGUCCACGCCGUAAACGAUGGAUACUAGCUGUUCGUCUAACAUUGGUUAGAUGAGUGGCUAAGCGAAAGUGAUAAGUAUCCCACCUGGGGAGUACGGUCGCAAGACUG